UUGGGCUCAAGAGAGGAUCCAAGUCUGUGGGAGAGAGAGUAUUAAACAGUCACCACAUGCAUGUUUUUACACUGCACACCCUAGGUAAAACCAAUGCAGUGGUGCUGCUAGUGCACGCUGCACAUAGGUCUUCGAAUUUUGAAUUUGCCUUGGGUAAUUUUAACACAGUUUGGGACAUAAUUCGUUCAUUAUAAUUCUA
Molecule: long non-coding RNA, 199 nt
Filed under: Malus domestica (apple)
Lineage: Eukaryota; Viridiplantae; Streptophyta; Magnoliopsida; Rosales; Rosaceae
Description: long non-coding RNA (MDOM_LNC007728)
Source: RNAcentral